CGGCGCGCGUUCUGAUGUGGUUGGACUGUGUUCCACGCGUCUCCAGAUUGCCGCGGUCACUCUUAUACCGAGACCGAGGUUGGCGGCUUGGUUCCCUGCUGACCCUGCUGAUGCAACAGCAUGGCCCCCCCUCCCCCAUUUGGACACCUUCGCACCGCCUGGAAGGCCUGCCUCACCUGCAGUUCUCCUGGAUCGCGGAAACGUAACAAUGUUGGGAGGUCUGUUGACGUCCACCGUAUAGCGGCAGUGACCGGGUGGGCUGCCAGCUGGCCAUUCCCAGACGAUGGACCCUUCGAGACGUCCUCCCCUGACCGCCUGCCUGUACCUUUCGACUGUGCAUACUCUUUAGGCUUUGCAGAAAGCUGGACGUGGCCUGGACCCCCGGGCGAGUGAGAAAAGAGGGCUUGCAGAGGCACGGGGAGAGCCCUCAUUGGAACCAAUGACAUGUGCGCUUAUCCGGGGAAAAAAUUCGAGUGGAAGCGGACGAAUACAACAAACGGUGAGCUUUUAGAGCUGGCGUUAAAUUGACAGAAGCAAAUUUUGAUUGCGCGGGUUUAUUUAAAGUGCGAAAGCUGACGAACUGGAGAGAGAGAGAGA
Long non-coding RNA from Dermacentor albipictus, 597 nucleotides. RefSeq lists it as uncharacterized. NCBI's taxonomy places the organism in Eukaryota, Metazoa, Arthropoda, Arachnida, Ixodida, Ixodidae. The record is from RefSeq and is a predicted model, not a curated record.